AGUUAAAAGAUAAUCCACAAUAAACCUUAAGAAAAUCCUUAAGAAGUCUUAAAAAAUAUUAAAAUAAUCACAAUAUAUCUUAAAUAAAUCUCAAUUAAGUUUUAAUUUAAUCCUAUUUGAAAUCCUAAAAGACUUCAAUCAAACAUUAGAUAAAUCUUAAAUCGUAAAUCAAAUCCUAAACAAAUAUUAAACUCUAAAUGAAACCCUAGAUAAAUCCUAAAUUCUAAACCCAAUCCUAAUUAAAUCCUAGUCAAAUCUUAAAUCCUAAAAAAAAUCCAAGACAAAUCCAAGAUCCUAAACCAAACUCUAUUCAAAUCCUAAAUCGUAAAUCCAACUCUAAUAAAAUCCUAGAAAAAUCUUAAAUCCUAAAUCAAAUCUUAGAAAAAUUUUAAAUCCUAAAUCAAAUCCUAACUAAAUCUUAAACUCUAAAUCAAAUCUUAGACAAAUCCUAAAUCCUAAAUCCUAAAUCUUAAACCAAAUCUUAAACAAAUUCUAAAUUCUAAAUCAAAUUCUAAUCAAAUCUUAAAUUCUAAAUUAAAUCUUAAUCAAAUCUUUAAUCUUAAAUCAAAUCCUAGAAAAAUCCUAAAUCCUAAAUCAAAUCCUAAUCAAAUCCUAGACAAAUCCUAAAUCCUAAACUAAAUAUUAAACCAAAUCCUAAAAUAGUUUAGAACCUUGAUAUCUUUUGAUUAAAUUACUGAUCUUAUUUAAAAUUUUACACACCUCUUAAUCUCUUAAUUACAAACAAGUACAAUAAAUUUGAAGACAAUUGCAUUUACCAAAUAGAAGAAAAAUCCUAAAAUUUGCUUGGAUGUUGGUCGGCCUCCUCCUCCAAUCUUAAUGCUAAUCUUUUAGUGCAAAUAUCUCCCUUUUUCACCAUUCAAUUGAUCUCAAAAUUUUCAUAUACAUAAAAAAAUAAGUCCACUACCUAUAUACAUAACUUUCACUUUAAUCCAAUUGAUAGAUUGUAAGAAAUCUUAGAAAUCCUCAUUAGACCUAAAAUUCUACUUUUUGAGACCUUGACCUAUUUAAACCUCAACAAUCCUCAAUUCAACCAUUAGAUCAAGUUAAAACUCACAAAAAAUAUUAAACACAACUAUAGCUAUUAAUAUAUAAAAUUUAAUUUAUAGAUCUACUAUAAAAUUCUUGAAAUUAUCCAAAAUAUCAAUCUUAUUUUAUUUUACAAAGAUCCAAGUCAUCCAAAACAAUCUUAACUUUAUAAGGUUCUUACAAAGUCAUUAUAAAUCCAAAUCACACAAAAUCAAUGCUUACAAAAAUCCUAUCAAGUUUGCUAUCAAACUCUAAUCUUGAAUCUCCAAAAAAACCUUAAAGUCAUUAUAGGUGUUGUCACGGCCAUAAUCAUGUAAGCUAAUAAUUACAUAUAGAAAUAGGUAGAAGUAAGUAAAAGUAGAUAAAAGUAAGUUAAUUGUAUAAUAUUUAAUAUAGAAGCUUCCUAGAAACUUCUUAGACGCUGCUUUGACUUCAUAGGUGUCUUUAAUUGACUUUUUGGAUUAGAAACGUGGUCAAUAAGUUGGCCAUGUGCCACACAUGUUAUUAGCUUGAAGAUCAAGCUAACUAUGUGGCCCACACGUAGAAAAACUUGCCUUGUAAGUCAAGGCAUGUGUCCUACAAAGUCAACACAUAUUGGAGGUCCUAUAGAACGUCGCCACGUAGCCCCUAGUUAGAUAGUAUAUAUAGAGACAAGAGUGAAGGCUUCUUCACUCUUGUCAACUCCUUUCUUGCUUCUAGUCUAGUUUCAAGGGUCUCUAGUUUUCUUGUAUUUUGGCAAUAGCCAUUCCAGUUUCUUUCUUAAUAUACAUAUUUGUAUUUUGUCCUAUUUCUUUUUGAAAAAAGUCUCACUUAUUCUUUAGCUUUCAUCGAGUUCUUGUCCUUGACAGAUUGACAAGAGUACACUUACAAUAUCAGAGCUUUGUUUUUUCUUGAGUAAGAGUGGAUUACCCCUUUCUCUUGACAAGACAUAAGCGUAUUAGAAGUUUGCGGAUUACCCACUUCUAAACUGAUAUUGUUCUUAGUAUCUUCUUUGUUAUCAAGUCUUUCUUUUCUUUUGUCUUGAGCAAUAUCAAACAAAUUUUUCUUCUUAGUGUCAUUAUGGCAGAGCUUGUUGAAAUGAAGAGUGCAAUGGCACAAAUGCAAGAGCAAAUGAGGGAGUUAAUGCUUGCGAUGCAUCAACUCAAUUCACCAACACAGGAAAGAACAAGAAUAGCAGAAAGUGGAGAUAUAGAGAUGAUCGGAGCUGCUUCAACAUCUACAACAAAUCACGUUCCUUCCCCAAUUGUACAACACCCUAUAAGCACUAGAGAACCAAGAAUUGCCUUACCUGAGAAAUUUGAUGGUACGAGAUCAAAGUUUCGAGGGUUCAUCAAUCAAGUACAAUUGGCAAUUGAACUUCAACCGCAAAGCUAUCCAACUCCAGGAUCACAAGUCAGGUUUAUUGGCACUCUACUUUCUGGUUCUGCAUUAUCGUGGUUUUCGUCUUUUCUUGAACAACGAAAUCCAAUAUUGGACAAUUUGGAAGCUUUUUUGGCGGAGUUUCGAUCUAUGUAUGGUGAACACGAUGCAACUCGUGUUGCAACAAAUAAGAUCCGAAUUCUGCGACAAGAAAAUCGCUCAGUAACAGUAUAUGCUUCAUAAUUUCGACAACUUGCAAUUGACAUCAAGUGGGAUGAUGCUGCACUCAUCAGUCAAUUUCUUUAUGGAUUGCAAUACGAAGUAAAGAAAUUGAUGCUCAACUUACCUGAUCCUCAAACUUUGAGUCAAGCAAUCGAUUUUGCGGUAAAAUGUGAUAAUCGACUUUUUGAAUUUCGAUCUGAGAAUCAUUCACGGGAACCUCAACGUUAUUACUCAAUGGCAACAUCAACAUCUUUGCCAAACGUACAUUCGGAAGUAGAAGACAUGCAAAUUGACGCGGUACGUUUUAAACCUCUAACUGAGCAAGAAAAGAUUCGUCGUCGUCAAGAAGGAUUAUGUUUAUAUUGCGGAGAACCUAAGCACACUGCUCAACAUUGUCCAAAGAAACGACGCAACUAUAAAAUGAGGGGUACGACGGUCAAAGAAGACAACAUGUCGGAAAACGGAUUCAUCCAGCUACAAUAGGGACCGUGCAGUUGGAACCUUGUACAAUUCCUAAUGAAGGUCCUAUCCUCUCCUCAAAACCCUCUCCUUGUUUUAUAAUAGACUUAUAUUUAGGACCUAAAAAUUACAAAGCCUCUGCUUUAUUAGAUUCGGGAGCCUCAGCAUGUUUUUUAGAUGAACAAUUUGUUAAAAGUCGUAAAAUACCCUAUGUACAGAAACCUAAACCAGUACAUGUAGAAGUCAUAGAUGGUCGUCCCUUGUCUUCUGGAGAUGUCACUCAUGAAACUCAUCCUAUAAAAGUAACAAUAGACGGUCAUGAUAGCUACAUAGCUUUGAACAUAAUUAAAUCCCCGUCCAAUCCAGUUAUUUUAGGUUUAUCAUGGCUAGAAAAAUAUAAUCCUCGAAUAGAUUGGAAUUCGCGUAAACUUGACUUUUCCAAAAGCGUUAUUAAUAGUUCUACGAACCAAGUAAAAAAUUAUAAGUCUAGCACAGUAAAAUCCGUACUGAUAGGUGCAAAAGCAUUUAUACACGCAGCAAAAGAAGGAUCAACUUUUGCUAUUUAUGCUGCACCUAUUUCUGAAAACGUAAAGACUUCAAGUGGCAUUCCAAGUCAAUAUCAGGAGUAUCAAGACGUUUUUGAGAAAAAGAAUGCAGAUAUUCUUUCUGAGCAUCGUCCAUAUGAUUGUUCAAUCGACCUCAAGGAAGGAACUCAGCCACCAUUUGGACCAAUUUACAGUUUAUCGCAAGAUGAGAUGGCUGAACUCAAGACAUAUAUUGACGAGAAUUUAGCGAAGAAUUUCAUACGCCAUUCAAAAUCUCCAGCAGGAGCUCCAAUUCUAUUCGUAAAGAAAAAAGAUGGAUCUUUACGAAUGUGUGUUGAUUAUCGAGGACUCAACAAGAUCACAAUCAAGAACAGGUAUCCAUUACCUUUGAUAUCAGGACUCCUUGACCAGUUGAAUCAAGCUAAGAUCUAUACAAAAAUAGAUCUAAGAGGAGCAUAUAAUCUAGUACGGAUCAAAGAAGGAGAUGAAUGGAAGACUGCGUUUCGAACCAGGUAUGGACAUUUCGAAUAUAAUGUCAUGCCCUUUGGACUCACGAAUGCACCAGCUGCUUUUCAACAUCUCAUGAAUGAUAUAUUUCGUGAAUUCUUAGACAAUUUUGUCGUCUGCUAUCUAGACGAUAUCCUGAUCUAUUCCAAGAACGUCGAAGAACAUGAAAUACAUGUUCGUCAAGUAUUACAAAAACUUAGAGAUGCAGGAUUGUACGCCAAGAUGGAAAAGUGUGUAUUUCACACUACUCAAGUUGACUUUUUAGGAUACAUCAUUUCAAAUGAUGGUCUCAUGAUGGAUUCUAAGAAAGUCCAAACAAUCGUGGAUUGGAAGAUUCCAAGGACAGUAAGAGAUGUUCAAUGUUUCUUGGGAUUUGCCAAUUACUAUCGGAUCUUCAUCAAAGAUUUCUCACGAGUUGCAGCUCCACUUACACGCUUGACUAGUAAAGAUAAAUUUCAAUGGAAUCAAGAAGCGGAAGCAGCAUUUGAAGCCUUGAAGACAUCGUUUGUCUCUGCACCAGUCUUAUAUCGUGUUGACUUUUCCAAGGCAUUUUUUAUGGAAACAGAUGCAUCAGAUUUUGCCUUGGGUGCAGUUUUAUCACAAAUGGGAACAGAUGACAAACUCCAUCCGAUAGCUUUUCAUUCAAGAAAAUUCUCAGCAGUCGAGAUCAAUUAUGAGAUCCACGAUAAAGAACUUCUUGCGAUCGUGGAUUCCUUUCAAGAAUGGCGUCAUUAUCUAGAAGGCGCUUCUAGUCCAGUCACUGUGUAUACAGAUCACAAGAACCUCGAGUAUUUCAUGUUAGCACGCAUGUUGAAUCGUCGUCAAGCUCGUUGGAGUAUGUCUUUGUCAAGAUUCGAGUUCAUUAUCACUUAUCGGCCAGGAAAACAACAAGGUUUAUCCGAUGCCCUAUCUAGACGUUCUUAUUUUGCACCAAAAGAAGGAGAUGCAGCUUUUGAGCAACAAAGAACGGUCCUCUUGAAACCGGAGCAAUUUCAUCUCCGAGCAAUGAAAUCAACAUUGACUGUUGAUUCAACUUUUCUCAAGCAAAUCCAGUCCAGUAUGUCCUCAGACCCUCUUGUUUAUGAUAUCGAGAAUAAUUCUUCCAAGUCUCAUGAUCCUUCUAAGUUUGAGUUCAAGAAUAAUCUAUUAUAUUUUGAAGGACGCCUAUAUGUUCUAGAAGGAGAAGCACGUUUACGUGUUCUUCAAGCACGUCAUGACUUUCCAGCAGCAGGGCACUUUGGAUAUAAUAAGACUUUGGAACUCAUAUCAAGAGAUUUUUGGUGGCCACAAAUGUGGAAGUCAGUCAAAGACUUUGUACAAUCAUGUGAUAUUUGUUCAAGAUCAAAAAUUCCUCGUCAUCGACCUUACGGACUUCUUCAGCCAUUACCUAUACUAGAACAACCAUGGUCUUCUGUUUCUAUGGAUUUCAUCACAGAUCUUCCAAGCUCAAGAUCUUAUGAUUCUAUAUUUGUGAUAGUAGAUCGUUUCACCAAGAUGGCACAUUUUGUGCCAUGUACAAAAUCUAUCACAGGUGAAGAAACAGCUAAGCUUUUCAUUGAUAAUAUCUAUCGCUAUCAUGGAUUACCUAAAGAUAUCAUAUCGGAUAGGGGAACUCAAUUUGUGUCAAGAUUUUGGAGGACCCUUUUCAAGAUUUUAAAAGUGGACAUAAAACUAUCUUCGGCUUUUCAUCCUCAAACUGAUGGACAAACAGAGCGCGUAAACCAAGUCUUGGAGCAAUAUUUAAGGUGUACUAUCAACUACCAACAAGAUGAUUGGACAACCCUUCUGCCAUUGGCAGAGUUUGCUUAUAAUAAUACGGUACAUUCUUCCACGCAACAAACACCUUUCUUUGCCAAUUAUGGCUAUCAUCCACGACUUGAUACUUUUGAUUUUUCAAAAGUUGAUAAUCCUGCAGCAGAAGAUAUGGCAAAUCGGUUGUCAGAGUUACAUGCAAUAAUGAAGACACAAUUGAAGGAAGCUCAAGAACGACAAAAGAUAAACACAGAUCUAUAUCGUAAGGAGCAACCACAGAUCAACGUCGGUGAUAAGGUAUGGCUACUUCGUCGCAAUAUCAAGACUACUCGACCUUGUGACAAGUUGGACUAUCGUAGGCUUAGCCCCUUUUCUGUUUCUGAACAGAUCAACCCAGUUGCAUAUCGGUUACAUCUACCAGAGUCAAUGAAGAUCCAUCCUGUAUUCCACGUAUCUCUUCUUGAACCAUAUAAGACAGUGGAUAUACAAGGAAGAAGACAAAUGCCACCGCUUCCUAUAGAAGUAGAUAAUAAUGAAGAAUUUGAGGUGGAAGAGAUAUUAGACUCAAGGCGGCGCCGAAAUAAGCUGGAAUAUCUUGUUCAUUGGCGCGGAUGUGAUAUUAGUGAACGCACAUGGGAGCCAUCCAGGAAUCUAACAAAUGCAUCAACUAAAGUCAAAGUUUUUCAUCAACGACAUCCAUCAAAACCAAGAUGAAAAUCUCUCUUAUAAAAGAGACAAGAUUGAGGCAAGAUAACAUUCAAUUUCCUAUCCUUGUUUGUAACUUCUUUGCAUUUGUGACGCUAAUUAGAUGGAGAGCCAACAACCAGCAGAUUCAACUCAAGAACCUUCGUUUGCUGACCUGCCGGACAAGACAUUACGAUUGUCACAACCUUCAAGACGACGCAAUCGAGAUGAAGAUCUUCAAGAACGACAUGUUCUUCCUCGAACAGAUGGUGAGAUACAACACGUUUGGUAUCACGAUUUGGGAAGGGACUCCUGAUGUUUGGUGAUUUUGCUAGAGGUAGGAACAACUCCUGAUGGUGUUCCGAAUAUUCUAUUCAAAGGAAGUUAUGAAGGCCUCAAUAAUGAUCAAAUAACUGGGUGGUCUUCCCGCCCUGGUAUGGGACACUACCGAUGGUUGAGAGGCCCUAUCAAUCAUCUUCGAAGAGAAUAGAGAUUAGAAUAUGUGGCGAAUACAAUUCGUCGCAUCAUAGAUUUCCUCAACAUAUGAUGACCACUCCUCGUGGAACUCGUCUCUAGAAGGGGGGGUAAUGUCACGGCCAUAAUCAUGUAAGCUAAUAAUUACAUAUAGAAAUAGGUAGAAGUAAGUAAAAGUAGAUAAAAGUAAGUUAAUUGUAUAAUAUUUAAUAUAGAAGCUUCCUAGAAACUUCAUAGAUGCUACUUUGACUUCAUAGGUGUCUUUAAUUGACUUUUUGGAUUAGAAACGUGGUCAACAAGUUGGCCAUGUGCCACACAUGUUAUUAGCUUGAAGAUCAAGCUAACUAUGUGGCCCACACGUAGAAAAACUUGCCUUGUAAGUCAAGGCAUGUGUCCUACAAAGUCAACACAUAUUGGAGGUCCUAUAGAACGUCGCCACGUAGCCCCUAGUUAGAUAGUAUAUAUAGAGACAAGAGUGAAGGCUUCUUCACUCUUGUCAACUCCUUUCUUGCUUCUAGUCUAGUUUCAAGGGUCUCUAGUUUUCUUGUAUUUUGGCAAUAGCCAUUCCAGUUUCUUUCUUAAUAUACAUAUUUCUAUUUUGUCCUAUUUCUUUUUGAGAAAAGUCUCACUUACUCUUUAGCUUUCAUCGAGUUCUUGUCCUUGACAGGUGUGCAGUUUUGUGCCUUGAGGUCCUAUUUUGAACCAGAUUGACAACUGGUCCUCUUUGAAUAUCAAUGCUUGACUUUUUGAGGUAAAUUUUGUUAAAAUUUAUUUUUAAUUUUAAUUUAAUUUUCUAAUUUAUUUUUUGUCUUAUUUAUGGUCUUAUAAAGUAAAUAGAAGCUCAUUUUAUAAAAGUUAAUAUUAGUAUGUUUUUAAAUUUUACUACCUUUUUGACUAUUAUCUAUAUUUUUAAGAUAAUUUUUUAUAAUAUUUUAAAUUAAGAUCUUCUAUAAUAUAAUAAUUUCUAUAUUUUUUUACCUAUUAAUCAAGUUACAUCAUGGCAUCCACCUCCCCUCCCUCCCCCUCCUUGAAUAUGUGCAUCCUUUGGCAUGCCUCAAUGAUUUUUUAAUAUAUUGAUGUUGAACGCUCUUCAUCUUAUUCAAAUUCUUGAUCUUCAAUUUCCUUCUUUCUUUCCAUCUUAAUAUCUUGUAUUAGAUUUUAUUCUUUAUGAAACAAAUGUCUUCAUCUCUUUGUUGAAAUAACUUGAUUCGUUUGCUUGUUAUAGAUAUCUUCAAUUAUGUACCAUUAAGUUCUUGUAAUAAGUAUGUUCCAUUGUUAUUUGUCUUUUUGACAAUAUAAGGCUUAAACCAUGUCUUUGCAAACUUCUUUGUUGUGCUAUAUUAAUUAUUUAAGCUACUAUCAUAAAUUAAUACUCAAUCACUAUCUUUAAUUGCUUUAGGUCGUAGUCAAUAUUUUUUAUGAAAUCUUUCUUUAUUCUUUUCUUUUGCUUCUUUCAAUCUCUCUAUUGCUGCUUCAAUAUCAUUAGAUCUUCUUUUUAAUUGUUGAAUCCAUAAUGCUAAAAGUUCUUUUCUAUUGAGAUCAUUCUUCCAAGGCAAUAUAUCCUAUAUAGGUACUAUGUCUUUUAUUGGCAUUACUGAUUUUUGCUCAUAUAUUAAUUUAAAAGGCAUAUAACUUGUUAUUGAACUAUGAGUUGUACAAUCUAUCCAUAGUACAAAUGAUAGUAGUUUAGGCCAUUCAUGUGCUUUACUAUUACAUGCCUUUAUUAAUGCCUUAACAAUAGGUGAAUGUCUAUGCUCAUUCUUACUAUUACCUUCUAGAUUAUGUGUUGUUGUUAAAAAAAAGUCUAAUUCCUAUUCUAUUAAAAAAUUCUUGUGCUUUCUUUACAUCUAAUUCAUUCUUAUUUGCUAUAAUUUUUUCAAUACAACCAUAGCAACAAAUAACAUCUUCUAAUAAAAAUCGACAUACAUCUUCAAUAUUCUUUAUUUUUAAUGCUCGUCCUUCAACCAUAUUUGAUAAAUCUUCUUGUGCAAGUAUCAAAUACUUCAUUUUUCCAAGUUCUAUAGGCAUUGCCAUUAAAUCUACCACCCACAUAUAAUAUAAAGUCAAAGGAUAUGUUGCAUGUAACUCAUCUUGAUGCUGAAUAUUUGAAUAUAUUUAACAAGUCUCACAAGAUCCUACAAAAUUUACUAUGUCUUUGUGCAUACUCUUCUACCAAUAUUUUUCUCUCAAAUUAAUAAAUGUUGUCCAAAUACUUGGAUGCCCUGUCUAUAAACUUACAUGAAAUUCUUUAAUAAUCUUGUGUUGAGCUUCUAAACCACAUAUCACCCUUUUUGGUAUUUCUUUUCUCCUCUUUAGAUGCUUCCAUAAAUAUCCAUCUUGUAAAAAAUAUCCAUAAGCUUUCUUAUGGAUUUUCUUAAAUUCUUGAUCUGUCCAAUCUUCUUCUUGCUUUAAUGUGCUUAAAUACUCUCUAAUAUCUUUUCAUUCAUCUUCAUGUAAAUCUCUUAAAAAUAUUUCUAAUGAUAUAUUUAAACAUACACCUUCUUUGUUUGAUAAUGUAUUAGUAUAAAAUUUUGUAUCCUCAUCAUCUUCUAAAUCAUUCAUCUCUUCUUCAUCAUGAUAUCUUGCUCUUGAUAAUAUAUUUGUGAUCAAAUUUUCUUUUCCUAAAAUAUAUUUAAAUUUUGGAUUUAUAGAUUUGAUAUAUAUUAUCUACUUUAACAUAGCAAUAUCAAGAAUUGAACAACUUGUAAUCAUGUCCAAUAAAGAUAGACAAUUUAUUUCUAUAACUAUUGAUGCCUCAAUCAAGUACUCUUUUUCAUUUUUCAUAGCUAUUACUACAUCCCAUAAUUCUCUUUUGAUUUGCACAUAUGCCCUUUACUUUGCAUUCAAAACCUUUGUUCCAAACCUUACUAGAUAUCUAUUUCCUUGUUCAUCAUCUUGUCCAAUUGCCCAACCUAUUCCAAUUUGACUUGCAUCAAUUGUUAAUACCAAUGACCUUCCACCUUCAUAAUUUACUUUCUUCAAAGUUGGAAGUAAAAAAAAAAAGAUCUUUCAAUUUUUUCAUAGUUUUUUUUUGUUCUUCUUUCUAUUGAAAUUUCUUAUUCUUUUUUAACAACUCAUAUAAUAGAUUUGCUAUAUGUACAAAAUAAGAUAUCCAUAUAUGAUAGAAAAUACAUGCUUCUAAAAAUCUUCUCAUUUUUGUUGUAUUUUCACAUUUUUUUCUUCUUUUCAAUAAUAUCAACUUUUUCCAUACUUGGCUUCUAUCCAUGUGAUCCACACAUAUGUCCUACUACUAAAACUUCUUUUACUCCAAAUAUUGAUUUUGCUCCUAAUAAGAUUAAAUGAACUUCUAACCUUUUUAAAAUCUUUUCACAAUCAUCAAUGUGAUCUGCUACAAACUUUCUACAUCUCUUUGAAUCAAAAGUCUCAUCUUUUCUUUCUUCUUUACAUUCUUUAAUUGGAACAUCAACUAAAAAAGGUAUUAUUAUUCUUAGAAUAAAAACUCUUAAUACUUUAUGAAUUCCAUUCAUUAUGUGUGCCUCAAAAUUUGUAGGUCAUUGUGAUAAUGUAGAGAUUCUGACCAAUCCUAAUGGUGUCUUCUUAGAUGUCAAAUCUCUACUUUGCAUUGCCGUUGGAAUUGAUCAUAAUAUGAAUAAAGUUCACCUAUUGAAUAGAUUUCUCUUCUAGCAAAAAGUUUGCUUUCAUUCCAUCUUAGCUUUUUAUUUUUUUAUAGGCUGAACCAUGACAAUUAUCUUUAUUUCUAUUUGUGUCGCAAUAAUAUAUGAUUGCCUCAAUAUAAUAGGAUAUAUAGGCAUGUUUUGCAUAAAAAAAAUUUAUUCAUGAAUAACAUCUCUUAUUUUCACCUUAAUAUUUAAACAAGCUCAAUACAAAUCUCUCUUUGAAUUGUUUGUUGCUCUUAUCAUCCAUACAUGUUCAAUAUCAAUAGGCCGUUUUUCCAUGUUAUAUAAUUCUUUUGACAUCAAAUUGAUUUUAGAACCAAAAUCAAUCAAUGCUACAACUAGUUUUUCAAAAUCUCCCAAUUUUAUCAAAGUUUCCGUAGUAGUAUGAAGAACAUAUAUAGGAAGUUGUAGAAGAUUCUAGAAGAUUUUAGAGAAGCUUUGUAGUUUGUAGAAGCUACUUGAGAAUUUUUCAAGUUUGUGGAAGCUACUUAAAAAGCUUCCUAAUUCAUAGAAGCUGCUUGAAAAAUUUCUUAGUUUGUGGAAGCUACUUGAGGAGCUUCCUAGCUUGUAGUAUAUAUAGGAGCUGAGACUGAGGGGAUCCUCAGUCUCAACAACACAUCUCUUGGAGCUCUAGCUCACCUCUCUAGUGUUGUGCUUGUACUUAUCUGAUUAAUCUAAUUCUUGUCGAUUCUUCUUGAGCUUUUUGUUUAGAUUUUCAGUGAGUAUUCUAAAUUCAUGACAGUUUGUCAAGACUCCAUUCAUCUUUCAUAUCAGAGCUACUUCUUUCUUAUUAGAAUGUGGAUUAUUCCUCUACUUGAAGGUGUUGACAUUUUAGAAGUUGCAGAUUAUCCUUUUCUAAAUUGAUAUUUUUUUGAUUAUAACAUUAGAGUCUUAUCUUUCUUGGAGAGAGUGGAUUAUCCUUCUUCUUGAAAGCUUUAAGGCAUUUUAGAGGUUGCGGAGUAUCCUCCUCUAAACUAAUAAUGCCUUUUUAUAGAGUCAUUUCUUUCUUUCUCUUAAAAUGGUCGGAGGUCAAGAUAUUAGUAUGACUGAAAGUUUGGAGUCUAAGUUGGAUGCCAUUAUGAAUGCUCUUGCUACGUUACUACAAAGAACUACAAAGAUUGAAGGAAUCAUUGCAAGACUUCAUAAUAAUAGAGCAUCCGGGAUGGCACAAUCAAGGAUUCACCAGCCUCAAGCUUUAGCACCAAGAGAAGCAGCUUUGCUUCUAGUUCAACAAGGACUGUUGAUCUUACAAUGAAAGGAGCCCCAAAUUAGCCUUUUAGAUAAGUUCGAUGGUACGCGUUCCAAGUUUUGAAGUUUUGUCAAUCAAAUUAGAUUAAGAACAGCUUUAGAGUCUAAACGCUAUCUAACGAAGGAGUCACAUGUUAGACUGGUUGGAACUUUGUUCACGAGGCAAGCUCUAUCAUGGUUUGCUCCUUUGUUUGAAAAAAGAUCGUCAAUUUUGAACAACUUCAAAACUUUUUUGGAGGCGUUUGCGGAAGUAUUUGACAAACAUGACAAGACACAAUGGGCUACAACAAAGAUCCGGUCACUAUGACAAGGGGCACACUCCGCGUCAGUCUACGCAUCAGAUUUCAGAUAAUUAGCCUACGACAUCAACUGGAACGAGGAAGCAUUAAUGAGUCAAUUUUAUUGGGGCUUGAGGGAUGACAAGAAGGAUUUAUUAUUAUCUCUUCUUGAUCCGCAAAUGCUCAACAAAGCCAUUAGCUAAGCUGUAAAGUACAAUAACCACAUGUUCCAACAUCGCUGAGAUCAGCGCUCAAGACAACAUAUGGCUCACCAUGCUCCAACUAUGUCAACAAGCAACCUAAAUUCACAUUCAAAGGUGGAAGACAUGCAAAUUGACAUGGUACAUGUCAAAUCUCUAACUCUAGAAGAAAAAAAGCAGCAUAUGGAGGAAGGACUAUGCUUCUAUUGUGGUGAAGAAGACCACAGAGUUAGAAACUACCCCAAGAAGCAAAAUCGACACAUUUUCAGGACCAAAGGUGCGUUUGUUCAAGAAAACAAGGAUGCCCAGCCAAAAUAAGGACUAUGCAGCUGGACAAUUCAAUACCACAACAACAAUCAGGUUCCUCUCUUUUUAAUCACCCUGUCCAUUGUUUUACCAUUCCUCUAUCUUUUGGCCCUCAGAAAUUAAAAACCUUAGCAUUAUUCGAUUCAAGAGCAUCUACUUACUUUUUAGACAAAGAAUUUGCUAAGAGUCAUGAGAUUCCUCUAAUAUGAAAACCUAAACCUGUUCAUGUAGAAGUAAUAGAUUGAUGACCUUUAUUGUCUGGUAGUAUCACUCAUAAAUCAAAACUUAUAGAGGUGACGUUUAAAGACCAUAGUACUUAUAUUAUUUUCAAUAUUAUUAGAACCCCAUCAAAUUUUGUUAUUCUUGGUCUUUCUUGAUUAGAAAUGCAUAAUCCAUCUAUAGAUAGGAGGUUACAAAAGAUGACAUUUCCUAUAGAACAUUCCGAGAGUAAGCUUGUUAGAAGAUCUCAAACAAAAAAAAACUUAUUUAUUGGAGCAAGAGCAUUUGUAACAUCAUCCAAGGAAGGCACACCAUUUGUCAUUUAUGCGACUCCAACUAGCAAAGAGAAGAUUUUGACAGCAAGUAUAUCAGAGCAAUGUAAGGAUUUCGAAGACGUGUUUCAAAAAAAGUAUGCCGAUAUGCUACCGAAGCAUCGACCAUAUAAUUGUGCCAUAGACUUGCAAGAAAGAACACAACCAUCUUUUGGCCCAAUCUACAAUUUGUCACAAAUGAAGUUAGCGGAGUUACAAAAGUACAUUGACGAGAAUCUAACCAAGAACUUCAUUCGUCAUUCAAAGUCACGAAUUGGAGCACCAAUCUUAUUUGUGAAGAAGAAAGAUGGCUCGUUGUGGAUGUGUAAGGAUUAUCAAGGUCUCAACAAGGUGACAAAGAAGUAUCGUUAUCCAUUAUCCUUGAUAUUAGGUCUUCUAGAAUAAUUUGGGUGUGCAAGGAUUUUUAGAAAGAUUGAUCUAAGAAGAGCUUACAACCUCGUGCAAAUCAAAGAAGGAGACAAAUGGAAGAUAGCUUUUCGUACAAGGUAUGGCCAUUUUGAAUAUAAUGUUAUGCCUUUCGAUCUUAUCAAUGCUCCGGCGGUCUUUCUACACAUGAUGAAUGACAUCUUUCCAAAGCACCUUGACGAUUUUGUUGUCAUUUAUCUAGAUGAUAUUUUGAUAUUUUCCAAGAAUAUAGAAGAGCAUGAAAAACUCGUUCGUCUGGUUCUUGAAAAACUUUGCAAGCAAGGACUUUAUGCCAAAUUAGAAAAGUGCUUGUUUAAUCAAAUUGAGAUGGAAUUUUAAGGAUUCAUUGUAACUAAAAAAGGUUUGAAGAUGGAUCCUAAGAAGGUGGAAGCAAUUGAAUCAUGGAAAGUUCCAAAAACAAUUAAAGACGUACAAUGCUUUCUUAGCUUUGCUAACUUCUAUUAGAUCUUCAUUAAGAAUUACUCUCAAGUUGUUGCUCUGCUCACUUGGUUGAAAUGUAAAGACAAGCUCGAAUAGGGACCUCUAGUGGAAAAAGCAUUUCAAGAUCUUAAGACGACAUUUACUAUGGCUCCAAACUUAGUACAUCUGGACUUUGUAAAGGCCUUUUAUUUGGAGACAGAUGCUUCAAAUUUUGCUAUGGAAGUUUGUAAUUGCUUGUUUUACUUAUUCCGAAAGAAACCUCCAAGAAUAAACCCGUAUAGGGAAAUUCAAACACGGGAAAUGACUAGUUGCUUAAGCGUUUACGUUAGGGUCACAUAAUCAAUUACCUCCUAAAUAUAUCGUCUUUAUUUCUAAUAUCUGAACACACAUGGAAACUAUAAUCUCUUCCUUAACCUUAUCGGUCUCUUCCUUACAGUAAUUCAAUCAUACCAAUAACUGCUAUUUCCACCAAUAUAUUCACCCUCAUAAUCUCCAACUAUAAUAUUGCGCCCUCAUAGCUUUUAGCACACAAUUACCCUCAUUCCAGUCAUUGGAAUUCUUCACACAGAACUGCCAUUCACAUUAUAGUGUUUCACACAAACACAGACUCAUUCUCUCUGCUGAACUACAAUCAGAUUUCAACAUUCAAUCUUUCUUCUUCUCAAAUAGUACCAAUCACAUUUCCAUUCCAUAAUUCACUUCACAAUAUUCAGAAACUCUCAAUCCACUUAUUCAAAGAAAAUAACAAAGAAAAGAAAAGAGGUAGCACCAAGCUUAUCCCUGCUCACACUAUCAUAGCAAUAGCCUUUAGCUCACGACUCUCACAGUCUGGCCCUCAGCUUACGACUCUCGCAGUUUGACACCCUAAUUAACUUCUACAACUCCUAUAUACUUUUCCUUGAUUCUCCAGAUUCUAAUCGUAAUUUUGUAAUUAAUCGCUUUUAAUAACUAAAUCACUCAUCCAUCCUCUUGAAUUUCCUAUUAUAUGGACUAUUAAUAUAUUUUAUCAAUAUCUUUCAAAAACGAAUUAAUAUCUAUUCUACAUAGUCCUACUCCUAUCUGUGCAGCGUCCUCACAAACACUCAAUUGAUACCUAUCUACAAAUUAUCUAACAAAUCUCCACAAAAAUUGCAAUCCCUCUGGCCUAUCUAAUUAAUGAAUUGCCACAGUAUCUGUUAUUGGUUCCACUGAUUCCGGUUCCAACUGCAAAUCUUCGUCCUCAUCUAAUUCUUCCAUUGGCUCCUACCUCAACUGAGCUAAAAGGUCUUCAUUAUACUCACCCAAUUCAUCGACUUGAGCUUCCAAUUUCAGGAUUUGGGCAUCUCUCAAUUCCAACUGGCGCUGAAAGUGACUCCUCUCUUCUGGAACUUCAAGAACUAGCAACGUUGAUACUUGUGCUUGACCAAUAUUGACUAAAUCCUCUACCAAUCAUGUCACCUCAACGUUCAAGGCCUCAAUUUCAGCCCUUAACUACUCCAUUUCACAUCUGUAUUGGUCACUCAAUACCAAUUUCUCUUGCGCCAAUAACUCAGCCUUAUCUCAUUCCAUUAUCAACUGACCUUUUGCUUUUUUCAGUUGCAAAAUUGAAUUAUUGUGAGCCCAGAAUAGUUCUUGUUUAUGGGUCUCCACCAUGCGUUCUCUUUUUUGUGACUGGUUCCUCACUGUUAACUUUUAUUUGGAACUACUACUCUCGAAAACACAAGAAAUGCAAGAAAAUGGUACUCCAGCCAACCCAAAACAACACCACAGAAUGACUUUAACUGGUGCCCUACUCCUAUUCUUUUAUUACUUGGUGAUAAUGACAACAUGUUACCUAUACUGUCCAUGAAAGGUAAUGAGAAGUAAUCUUUCUUCGUGGUCACAUUUAACUUUUGAAAAUCUUGACAUAUCUUGAUUUUUCCAUUCUUCUUUUAUACCAUCACAAUUAGCGAUACCCAUGCACUAUGCGGAACAGGAUAAAUAAAACCCACGUCGAGAAGUUUAUUCAAUUUUUCUUUCACUAAAAGAAAAUAUUUUGGGUUAAGCCGAUAUUGUCUUUGACAAAUUGGCAUAACACCCUCCUCCAAAAUAAUCUGGUGCUCACAUACGUCAACUAGAAUCCCUUUCAAAUCCACAUACGAACACGCAAAGGUAGAUUUGUGAUGGACAAAAAACUGUUUCCAAGCAUCCAAUUCUGUACCUAUAAUACUGGCAUAUAUUUUAAUUAGCUGUAGCAUUUCAUUGGUGCCCAGGUUAAUAGAUUGACACACACGGUCUUCAACAACCUCUGAUUUAAUUGUCUUCUCUUGAUCUGAAUAUCUUAUAUUAUUCGACAUAUAGGAACCACCCAAAUUUGGUUCCAAUGUGCUGACUCUAUUGACUGCGGAAUUGUUCAUCUAUUCGACAAUAGCAUGAUCCGAGUUAGUCGUAUCCUCUUGAUGCAGUAAAUAUUCACCAGAACUUCCACAUUGGUAGAUUCUUGCCUUUGCUAUUGAAGUGUUUUGUCUUACCCCAAAUUGUGGUGAACCUAUAGCAUCGGCAUCUGACUCAAUCGAUUGACUCUCAUUGUUCGAUGUAAAUUCUGAUUUUGGCGAUUAAGAUUCUCCAUGAUAUUAUACCGGGUACAUCUGUAGAACAAUCUGGUCUCGGCCUUUUUCAAUUGUCAAUGUGCCUCGGCCCCAAUUGUUCUUAGCUUUGGUUUGAUAAAGCCAAGGUCUGCCUAAUAAAAUGGGAUACGAUAACGUAGAACUCUGUAAUCGAAAUACAAUAUAAUCGAUUUUGUAUGUCAAUCUUAUGAUUACAGUGACAAUAUUGUGUAAGAUUUCCAUUGGCUUUACCCGACUAUGAUCUGCCAUUUGUAAGAUCAAUGUCGUAGGUAGCAAUUGGUAUAGAUUCAAGUCCUCCAUUGUAUCCACGUUCAUUAAAUUCACAGUGGAGCCACCAUCAACUUGUACUCCUCGAAUUAAAAUGCCAUCGAUUGAUACAUUGAUUGUUGGUGCUCCCAGAUCUGGGUUUAAGCUAACUUCAUGAAUUUCUUUAGUAUGAGAUCUUCGUCGUAUUAGCGCUAAAUUCAAUGUAAAUCGACAUUCCGGUGCUAUAGCCAAAAGUUGCUUCAUUGUAAUUGAAGGCUGAAUAAUAUCCAAAUCCUUCAGAAUGUCGUAGGAUUCCAUAUUGAGAGUAAUUCCCAAUGCUCUUUUGCGUUUCAUUGGUUUGAGUUUAACUCCAUGAGGUAAGUUAUUCUUCCGCUUUAGAUUCGAAAUUGGAACAACAGCCGGGGCUUCCUUGAAAUUCUCGCCCUCGAGAGGAUCUUUCAACAGAUAGGACAUUUCUCAGGACUGUGUAGAGAUUGGAACUACUUAGAACGAAAUUGAAGCCUCUGUAAUUGGGACCUCAUUGGGUUCUACCACCGAUUGAGGUCUCAUACUGGAUACAGAGCCCGUAACAAGAUAUGGAUUGGAUGGUCCUGGCAAAUUGGUAAGUGGAACCAAAUUAGAUUCCUCAGUCUGUUGAGGUCUCAAUAUUGGGAUACGUCCCAAUACUAAUAUUGGUUUGUUUAGCCCCAUGAACGGCACUACUUCCUCUCUUGCGAUUGGUUCAUCCAGUUCCUGAAUUAGAUUCUUAUCUUUUUGUUGGCCUUUGGUAAGCACUACGUUCACCACCUUGACAUGAUGUAUUGGUGAGUCUCAUUAAACAGGGCCUUUGUCCUCCGCCGGUUGGCUUGUUUGCAUUUGCUAGUCCUGGUUAUUAUAAUUAAAGGGCGCAUUACAUUGCUGAUAAGUGUGACCAGACUGCUUAUAAUUUCCACAUAUUGGAGAAUAGUCAUCACUGGCCCUUGGAUUAAGACAUUCACUUGCAUAAUGUCUGAUUUUUUUGCAACGAUAGCAACGAAGUGGUCUCCUGCCAAGUCCUUCAAGGAUAUUGGGUGUCUCUACUGGUAUAUAACGGCUAGGUCUGUUCGAUGUCGGAUGAGUAAAGGAUCCUGGUUGAUCCAUAAUUACUGUAGAGUUUGGCAUUGGCUUUGUCAUGGGUGGAUAUUAAUGGUAUCCUGGUUGGUUCAUCGCCAAUCCGUGAGUAUUUGAUACACCUUCUUGGUGAAAUUCAGAGUUUAGGAAAUUGGAAUAAUUCCUGUUUUAUUUAUUCGCUCGAUUUCCAUUCCAGCCAAACCUAUUAUUUCUUUGUACUUGAUUGACAUCCCACUGGGUUGGUCAAAUCAUUAUCUGGUUACUGAGUUGUAAUUGCUUCCGUAAAUUCUAACAGUUGGUGGUAAUAUGCUUGCCUCCAUAAAAGGUACAUUGUACAGUCAUUUGGAGUGGUGAAGGACAUUCUAUUACUAAAUGAUCUCGCCCCUUACAAUUGCUGCACCAGACAUUGGGAUGCAUAUUGGUUGGUUUAUGCUUUUUUUCUUUAUCCUUGGCAAGAUUCACAGCCAAUUCAUCCAUUUUUUUUGUCAAUGUUAACAGUAAUGACUCAUUGAGAUCCCUUGAUAUCAAUGCAUUUGGCAAUUCUUUUGUAGGUAUUGAUUUUUCAUAUGCGGAAUAAGAUGCAUACGAGUGUCAUGAUGAUGGUGGUAUAGCUUGCAAUAGAACGGCAUCCACUAUUCCCUAUGAAAUUUUAUCAUAAUCAUUCUUUCCCAGAUAACUUUCCGAUGCGUCAUUCCAAUUUUUCAUUUGAUAACCUCCUUGAGAUGGAAUCAUCGUGGCUCCAACUAUUCAGUUCUGAUCAUAGUGACAUUCCUCUCAUACUUUUGCUUGCGCAGAGAUGAUGCAAUGGUAGCUGAUUGGACCUCCUUUACAAACAUCUUUAAUUCUAGUAGGUGUAAUCCAUUAACCAAUAUGGAUAAUACAAACAAUACCGGCAUUUGGUUAUUUACCCAUUUUCAAAGUAUAUCUGCUACACGACCAUAAUAUGACUGUACCGCUUCCCCUAGUACCAUUCUGCUAGUCAUUAAUUUUUUUCUAAGACAUCCUUCAAAACCAAUUGGUCGAAAAUGGGCUAAAAAUGCAUUUUUCAAUGCCUCCCAAUUGUUAAAUUGUCCCACAAGUUGGCGGUUAUACCAAUCAAAUACUGUGUCUUUCAAUGUCGCUGGCAGCCAUCUUAACCAAAUGUCUUUUGUUCUUCCAUUAUUGGCUACACAUGCCAUCAAGAAUUGAGACAAAUGUUGAUUUGGAUCCGCACUCAAAAAUCCCCGAAAAGUAGGUAGUGACACGACACUAGUCAUACGAUCACCUACUACACCCAUUUGUACUGUAAUCAGAAUGGUUGGUCUUCCUGACGCCAUUGAAUUUCUUGUUCCGCUAAACUCUAUUUUAAAAUAAUCUCUGCUUUUCCUUAUUCUAAUUUCUGAGCUCUCAGUACUCCUCGAUUUACUGUUAUUUUCCACAAUUAGUUUUAUUGAUUGAAUUGAAGGUGAAAAUAUUGGAUUUUGAAAUACAACAUAGUUAUCUUUAUUGGCGAUCAAUUUGUGCCAAUCUGAAGAGCCACUAUUGCUCAUUUCAACAGUACCCUUUAUUGAAAAAAUACCCAAUGGAGUGCCAAUUUCUUCUACGCCUCCUUCUCUUUCAAUUAACGGCCUCAUGAUUUCCACUGGAAUGUUAACAAAAUUUCUUGUGAGUGUUCUUGGCAGUUUUUCUAAUGGUACAUACGACUGCAGAAUUAAUAGUCUGUCUGAUUCUUGAUAUGUUCGGAUGCACCGACAAGCUUGUAACCAUGGUUUAAUCCAAUUUUGUCAAUGCUUCCUUUUAAGAUUACGUUCUUGCUCCUCUCUAAGUAAGUCCCUUCCUUGCAUUCUUCCUUGUCUUUCUCUCAACUGAUUUAUUUUCUUUGAUGCAAUGCUCUCGUUCUUAUUAACCAUAAUCUUGCUUCAAACACUACUGAAAUCGUCUUCCAUUGUCAAUUUUCUCACACAUUUGGUAAUUAAUUCCUAACACUCAAAGCUAUUAUUACUCUCCGGUAGUGGCACCAAAAUGUGAUUGCUCAUUUUACUUAUUUUGGAAGAUACCUCCUAGCAUAAAUCCGUAUAGAGAAAUUCAAAUACGAGAAAUGACUAGUUGCUUAAGCGUUUACGUUAGGGUCACAUAAUCAAUUACCUCCUGAAUGUAUCAUCUCUAUUUCUAAUAUCUGAACACACAAGUAAACUAUAAUCUCCUCCUUCACCUUAUCGGUCUCUUCCUUACAGUAAUUCAGUCAUACCAAUAAUUGCUAUUUCCACCAAUAUAUUCACCCUCAUAAUCUCCAACUGUAUUACUGUGCCCUCACAGCUUUCAGGACACAAUUACCCUCAUUCCAAUCACUAGAAUUCUUCAUACAGAAUUGCCAUUCACAUUACAAUGUUUCACACAAAUACAAACUCAUUCUCUCUGUUGAACUACAAUCAGAUUUCAGCAUUCAAUCUUUCUUCUUUUCAAAUAGUAUCAAUCACAUUUUCAUUCCAUAAUUCACUUCAUAAUAUUCAGAAACUCUCAAUCCUUUUAUUCAAAGAAAAUAACAAACAAAAGAAAAGAGGUAGCACCAAGCUUAUUCCGGCUCACACUAUGACAGCGAUGGCCUUCGGCUCACAACUCUCACAGUCUGGCAUCCUAAUUAACUUCUAUAACUCCUAUAUACUUUCCCCUGAUUCUCCAGAUUCUAACCAUAAUUCUAUAAUUAACUGCUUUUAAUAACUAAAUCACUCAUCCGUCUUCUUGAAUUUCUUAUUAUAUGGACUAUUAAUAUAUUUUACCAAUAUCUUUCAAAAAUGAAGUAAUAUCUAUUCUAUAGAGUCAUACUUUUGGAGAUAAGCACAAACAAGAAGCUUCAUCGAGUUGCGUUCUAUUCUCAAAAGUUUUUUGCUGCUGAGAUCAAUUAUGAGAUCUACGAUAAAGAACUUCUUGUGAUAGUCGAUUCUUUCUAAGAGUGGCGUCACUUUCUAAAAAGAGCUAUGCAUCUGGUGACCAUAUACACGAAUCAUAAGAAUUUGUAGUACUUCAUGUCGGCUUGAGUUUUGAAUCAUCGUCAAGCUCGACGAAAUUUGUUGCUAUCUAGGUUUGACUUUAUUAUUACUUAUCAGCCUGGGAAGCAACAACGACUAUCUGAUGCAUUAUCAAGGAGAUCAUAUCUAGUACCAAAGGCUGAAGAAGCAGCAUUUAAUCAACAGUGUAUAAUAUUGUUGAAGUCAGAAUAAUUUAGGCUUUGCUCUGCUAUAGUACCAAUUAAUGCUGAUUUCUUCAACCAGGUACGUAUUAUAACUAUUGGAGAUUCUGUAGCCCUCGAUAUUAUGUAACAUUUCAAUAUUGACAAGUUCAAGGUAGAAGGAGAUCUUUUAUACUUUGAAGAGCAGUUGUAUAUUCCAAAGGGACCAGCACGAUUCUGAGUUCUCUAAUCUCGACAUGACUUUCUAGCUGUAGUACAUUUUGGAUUCAAUAAGACCUUGGAACUUAUUUCUCAAGAUUUUUGGUGGUCCCAAAUGUGGAAGGAUAUCAAGGAUUUUGUCCUCUCCUGAGACAUUUGUUGAAGAUCCAAGAAUCCUCAGCAUUGUUCCUAUGGUCUUCUUCAACCAUUGCCUAUUCUAUGUCUGCCAUGAUCUUCAGUUUUCAUGAACUUCAUUAUGGACUUGCAGCCAUCAAAUUCAUUUGACAACAUAUUUUUAGUGAUAGAUCGGCUUACAAAGAUGGCACACUUUGUCCCUUGCAAGAAAACAUCAUCAAGCAAAGACACAGCAAGACUCUUCUUUGAUAGUAUGUAUUCAUAUCUGAUUUACCAGAUGAUAUCAUGUCGAAUCAGGGAAUCCAAUUCAUAUCAAAGUUUUGGAGAUCUCUCUUUGAGAUAUUGAAGGUGGAUAUCAAGCUUUCUUUGGCUUUUCAUUCUCAAAUUGAUGGCCAAACAAAACGGGUGAAUCAAACUUUAGAGCAGUAUUUACGAUGCAGCAUCAACUAUCAACAAGAUGAUUGGACUGCAUAUCUAUCGUUAGCCAAGUUUGCAUAUAACAACACCCUUCAUGCAUCGACUCAACAAAUACCAUUCUUUUCCAACUAUGAGUAUUAUGCGAAGCUUGAUUUGUUGAGUCCAUCAAUUAAUAAUAACCUGGCUGCUUAAGGAUUUGUAAAAUAACUAUCGGAGCUUUAAACAAUGUUGAAGCUUAAAUUACAAAGUACCCAAGAAGCUUACAAGUCGUCCGUAAAUAAAUUUCAAAAUCAGGCAUCCACUUUCAUAAUUAGAGAUAAAAUAUAGUUGGUUUGACGAUAUAUCAAAACCAAGUGGCCAUGUCAUAAGUUGGACUACCGAAGAUUGAAACCAUUUGUCAUCCAGAAGCAAAUCAAUCUAAUGGCAUACCGUCUGGGGUUACCAGCUGCUAUGAAGGUACACCCAGUCUUUCAUGUUUGUUUGUUGGAGCCUUAUUGAGAGUCGUCUUUUCUUGAAAGAAUACAAUGUCCACCACCUAGUAUUGAAAUCAAGAACCAAGAGGAAUACGAGGUCAAAAAGGUACUAGAUUUGUAGCGUAAGUAGGAGAAAUUGGAAUACCUAGUGCAUUAAAGCGGGUAUGAUAUCAAUGAGCGCAUAUGGGAACCAACGAAAAUUCUUAUCAAUGCGUCACAAAAGGUACAGGAGUUUCAUCGACGCUAUCCUCAGAAAUCCAAGUCCUUUCAAUCAAAGUUUUUCAGUGAAGUUCCUUCUCCUUGAAGUCUCUUAAUCCUCAACCUUACAAAGAAGGGAGAUAAGGAACUUCUAAAAGACAUAGUUAGAGAUUAUAAAUUUGUAAGCAGAGCCCAUUCUUCCAUGUUUAGUCCUUAUAUUUUUUGAUCUGAUAUGGAUAGCUAAGAAAUAGAUACCAUAACAAUUAUGUCUUCUCAAUCGAAUAUCUCACAAAGACGACCCUACAAUCGAGUAUCUCACAAAGACGACCCUAAGAUGAAGAACUAUCUAUACCACGAAGACGACGGAUGAUACCUAGUAGCAGGUUGCUAGUGAUUGUGUUUGAAGUAGAACCUACCUACGGUGAUCUUCUCGAAAGAGUAUUUGUAGGAUAUUUUUAUAAUAAAGACAUGCUUGGUCAGAAAUCAAAGGCGUAGGAUACUAUCAUUAGUUACAACGACCGAUGAACUACUUGCCACACAAACAACAAUUGGAGUAUAUUACAUACACUAUGCGACAAAUUUUUAACUUCUUACGUUGGUACUGACUCGCAAUAGGAGUGUUUCUCAGAGAUCUCAAAGCUAAAAGGGGGAAGUGAUGUCAAGGACAUACAUUAGAAAGUUGUAGAAGAUUCUAGAAGGUUCUAAAGAUGCUUUAUAGUUUGUAGAAGCUACUUGAGAAGUUUUUAAGCUCGUGGAAGCUACUUGAGAAGCUUCUUAACUUAUAAAAGCUGCUUGAGAAGCUUCCUAAUUCGUGGAAGCUACUUGAGAAGCUUCCUAAUUUGUGGAAGCUACUUGAGGAGCUUCCUAGCUUGUAGUAUAUAUACGAGCCGAGACUGAGGGGAUCUUUAGUCUUGACAAUACAUCUCUUGGAGCUCUAGCUCACUUUUCUAGUAUUGUGCUUGUACUCAUCUGAUUAAUCUAAUUCUUACCGAUUCUUCUUGAAUUUCUUCUUUAGAUUUCCAGUUAGUAUUCAAAAUUUGUGACAAGUAGCCCUUGUCCAAUGACUUCUAGAAUAAUGACUAGAAGCUUGAAUGACAUCAUUUCUUUCUAUAAAUCUUACUUGUGAGACAUCUCCAAAAAUUUUCAUUUCAUCUUUUUUAUCUUCAUUGCUUUCUAUUGCUCUUAUUCCUUAUGCAUUUGAUAUCAUAGUGCCCCUUGUAGAUUCUCAUUUUUUCUUUAUUGUAUCAAUAAUAAUUUUAUGAAACUCACGCUUUGUAAUUCUUAGAAUUUUACUAAUUAUGAAUUCAACCUUUCCACUUAAAAUCCGCUCCUCCAAUACUUUCUUCAAAUCUGUAGCAGCUUAAAUAUCUGAUUAUAAUUUAUAAGUAGGAGCCUUUGCUUUUUCUUUUCUAAUUUUCUUUUCUUUUAUAGAAAUAUUUCCUAUUAUCUCUUCAUGUAUAGGAUUCUUUUGUUGUCAUGUUUUUUAUCUCCUUGUAGUUCUUUUUGAAGGUUCUUUAUUAUUUUUAUCUCUCCUUCAUUUUUCUUCUAUUAAUACUUUAUAUUGACUCUUAGUAAUAAGAGCAUGUAUAAAUAAUCUAUCUAUUGGAUCAUCCCAUCUAAUAAUUUUUUGAAUGUUAUUACCAAUAUAUUAUAAAUCAUCUCUAGUAAAUUUUCUCCUUUCAAUAUAAUUCAUUGCACUUGUCUACAAAGAACUAGAUUCUUCUAAAAACUCAAGAUUUAUACUUAAAUAUUUACUAGGAUUUUCUUCUAUCAAUAUUUUGAUGUUUCAUUGCUUGAGAUGAUUUGCACUUUAAAAGCAUCUUCCACAAAUACCUUUAUUCUUUCUUUACCAAAAUUUGUCUUCAAUUUUUCUCCACUUUCUUUUAAGUGUAUCAUACCAUCUUUAAAAAAAAUAAUUCUUUUUUGUAGCACCUCUGUAAAAUCUUCACAUUUCUUUCUUGAAUGAUUUGUGCUAUUACACCACAUGAACCUAUGCACUACACCUUUCAUUGGUCCUAAUCUUUGUCUUGUUUAUAUUUUUGAUAAUUGGCACUUCUCUAUAAGUUUUGUAUAUUUUAUUUGCAAAUCUCUCAUUCCACCUUUGAUUUCAUCAAUGUCCAUUUCUUCUUUCUUUAAUAUAGCUAUUGAAGGUUGAAUCAAAGAUGUUAGAUGGAUAGUAGACAUUUUUAUCUUAGAUGCUUCUAACGAUCUUUGAAUACCUAUCCUAUCUUUUCUUUUUUUCUUUUUUAUCAAGAAUCCUAUUGUUUCUUCCACUUUCUUUCAAUUUGUUGUCAAUUCUUCAUCUUCUUCUUUAUCUUCAAGCUAUAUUUCCAACUUCUCUCAUAACUUUCCAUCACCCUCUUGAAAAAAGAGCUCUAUUUUACUUAAAUCCAAUAAUUACCUUUUUUUUAUUUCAUAAAGAAGAAUAUUUCUUUUCAAACUCUCUUAAUAAUUCUAUUACUAAAAGAUUCUUUUCUAGCCUUUCAACUCAUUUAAAAAAUGAUUUCUUUAUAACUUGAUUGCUAUCUUUCAAGAAAAACUCAUCCUUCAAUGUUUGAAAUAUUUUUUUUCUAUAAAUCUCCAAAAUGUCCUAUAAUAGAUACUACAUGAUUUCUUAUCUUUGGUGCAAUAGUCAAUUCAAAUAAUUGAAACAUCUCCCUUUCUGGAACACGCUUCAAUUCUAUUUCUUUUACAUGGCACCUUAAAUAUUUUAUAAUAUCUUUUCCUUCAAAUUGAUGAAACUUAUCCACAACCGCAUAUAAUGCUUUGUUUGUCAUAUCCUCUUUGUAUUCUUUAACAUAUUGUUGUUGAAUGAAUAAGGCAAAAGCUUCAAAUAUGCUUUCAAAAUUAGGAUCAAAAUACAUACCUUAUCCUCUACUAGUACCUCGACUUAUAGUUCCAGUCAAAGCACCACCUAUAGCCCCUCUUUCAACUCUCUUGCCUUCUUUCUCUAUAAUUCAAAUAAUUCAAGAAAAAUUUCCAAAUACCUUUGAUUUCAAGCUUUUUACAUUAGAUUCACCAAAUAUGUCGUAUUAUGUGAAGUAUUGCUUGAAAGUGUACUUGGCACUUGGCUGUAAAAGAUAGAAUAGAAAUUGCAAUAACAAAAUUUUAAUUCUCAUAUAAUACUAUAUAAAUUCUAAUUAAACCUUAAUAAUAUUAAAAAAUCUUUAAUAAAAUUCAAAAAAAAUCUUAAAAAAAUUACAAAAGAAAUAAUAAAAAAUCUUAAAAGAAUUGAAACAUAAUCCACAAUAAACCUUAAAAGAAUCCUUAAGAAGCCAAAAAAAAUUAAAAUAAUCACAAAAUAUCUUAAAUAAAUCUUAAUUAAGUUUUAAUUUAAUCCUAGUUGAAAUGCUAAUGGACUUCAAUCAAGUUUUAGAUAAAUUCUAAAUCUUAAAUCAAAUCCUGAAUAAAUCUUAAAUUCUAAAUAAAAUUCUAAAAAAAUUCAACCUUAAUCAAAUCUUAGCCAAAUCUUUAAUCCUAAAUCAAAUCCUAGACAAAUCUUAAUUCCUAAAUCAAACCCUAAUCAAACCCUAGACAAAUCCUAAAUCCUAAACUAAACAUUAAACUAAAUCCUAAAAUAGUUUAGAACCUUGAUAUCUUUUGAUUAAAUUAUUGAUCUUAUUUAAAAUUUUACACACCUCUUAAUCUCUUAAUUAAAAAAUAGUACAAUAAAUUUGAAGACAAUUGCAUUUACUAAAUAGAAGAAAAAUCCUAAAAUUUGCUUGGAUGUUG
This 26376-nucleotide long non-coding RNA is filed under the name Physcomitrium patens. RNAcentral describes it as "long non-coding RNA (PPAT_LNC004750)". The record is from RNAcentral. Lineage: Eukaryota; Viridiplantae; Streptophyta; Bryopsida; Funariales; Funariaceae.